This 14155-nucleotide long non-coding RNA is filed under the name Vitis vinifera (wine grape). RNAcentral describes it as "long non-coding RNA (VVIN_LNC001235)". Lineage: Eukaryota; Viridiplantae; Streptophyta; Magnoliopsida; Vitales; Vitaceae. The record is from RNAcentral.
GCACCCCACCUGCAUCACAAGUUACUAAUAGAAGUAUAAAAAAUUUAAAUGUUCUUCCAUAUGCUAUUACAUUUGUAGUUUCAUGUAUAAGAAUAUUAUGAAAUUUACUUUGUUAAUUUGUUGAUAAUACUAAACAAGAAUUAAAUGAUAUUUACGCUAACCAAUUUUUUUUUAUUAAUUUGGUAAUAAAAAAAUUCUUUGAAUAUAUAUAUUAAUAUUUUUUUUAAAAAAAUAGAUAAGGAGGAAUUUAUUCUGAAAAUAAAUCAUUUCUUAUAAUAAAUUUAUUAAUUUAAGAUACUUUUAUAAUAUUUUAAAAAUAAUUAAAAACAUUUUAAGACUUUUUACAUGAUAUAAUGUACAAUAUUUCAGCCAUAGAGUAGGUUAAAAAAAUUGUUCUCCAUAUUUAAAUUUCUAAAUAUAAUUGUUGCUGUAAAACUAAUUUUCAAGAACUAUAAUUAAAAAUCUUACCAAACAAGUAAUAAAUUUCUAAUUUGCCCCAAGCCCACCACAACUGGACAUAUGUAGGAUGGCUAGAGGCCCAACCAAAAUCCCGACUUCGAGGGCUCAAGUGGUGCCGGGUGGGGGGCCUUUAACAUGACCAAACAGUUGGCAAUCGGGAGUAGGGGGGAAAGGAAACAUAGAGGAAGGAAGUUUUGGUCAUUGUCAAAGGGUCAACCAGUGAAAACCAGGGGUGGAAUCGAGGGCGCCGUGGAUUGCAGAAUCUAGGAUUGAAAACAAAGGGUGGUAAGUGGUUUUUUGUGGUCCCCGCCACGAUCAUCACGUUCGGUGGGGUGUACUAUAAAUACCCAGAGAAGCGUAUCCAUUGCUCCACAAAGGAAAACCAGGCAAAACAACCGUCAACAGUGUGAGAAGGAAUAUAGCCUAAAGAUGUCAAGCACAGCUGGUCAGGUUAUACGCUGCAAAGGUAUGCUUGAACUUGCCUUCUCUCCGCUUGUUCCCUGUUUGCAUCGAUUAGUUUAUUUCAUGUGAACCGUUGGCUUCUCUUGGAGUCUUAUGGGUCUUUUCAUUUUUUUUGGGGAAAUAUGACUCGACUUUUAAUGAUCGAGAGCAAAUAAGGUGGUGAAACAAAAAUGAAGUACUGAUCACAUGGCAGAUACGAAAUUGGGGAAUUUUGGAAAUUUUGUGAAAUCAUUCCAUCAGUAGCUAUAUAUAUCCUGAUUUGUCCUGUCCAUUUAGGCGUUGCUAGGUUAUUUGUGAGUGGCGAUCGGCUGUGGAUAUGACUCAAUGUAGAGCAUGGACAGUAAUUUUGGAACUUGGGUAUUCAACCAUUUUCCGUACUGGGUGUACUUCGAUAGAGUGCUUUUCUUUAUGGGUUUAUGAAGAAUGGGUUGGGUGAAUAUGCCCUACAAUGGUCCCACAGUUGUCUAUUUAAGAGGAGGGGUCCUAGUGUCUUUGAUCAUAUUUAUGAUUUUUAGUUAUGUAGAUAAUUGGUUGAAUUCUUUUGACAAAUGGGUAUCUCCAUUACAGCCGCGGUGGCAUGGGAAGCGGGAAAGCCGUUGGUGAUCGAAGAAGUGGAAGUGGCGCCUCCACAGGUCAUGGAGGUCCGUCUGAAGAUCCUCUUCACUUCUCUCUGCCACACCGAUGUUUACUUCUGGGAAGCCAAGGUAACUUCUUCAUGUUAAUGUUAUGUAGUUAUAAACUUACAAUGUAUUGCUUACUAUGUAGAGAUUCAUUUAUAGUUGUGUUCCUUUCUAGGUCGAAUGCUAAACAAUUUGGGUUUUAAUUUGCAGGGACAAACCCCUUUAUUUCCUCGCAUAUUUGGUCAUGAGGCAGGCGGGUAUGAAAAUUCUUAGUUCUUACAACUUAACCAAAAUACUAAAUUCCAUUUUCAUUGUUGUCUACUUCAUUUUUCCAACACAAUCGACCUUUUUAUCUUAAUAAUUUUCUUUGCUUUCCUGUCAUUUUAAUUAGGAUUGUGGAGAGCGUGGGUGAGGGUGUGACAGAUCUCCAACCUGGAGACCAUGUUCUUCCUGUAUUCACCGGAGAAUGCAAGGAGUGCCGGCAUUGCAAGUCGGAGGAAAGUAACAUGUGUGACCUCCUCAGGAUAAACACAGACAGAGGCGUGAUGCUCAGUGAUAACAAGUCAAGAUUCUCUAUUAAUGGAAAACCCGUUUACCAUUUUGUGGGGACUUCCACAUUUAGUGAAUACACUGUGGUCCAUGUUGGUUGCGUUGCCAAGAUCAACCCCGCUGCCCCACUCGACAAAGUUUGUGUUCUUAGCUGUGGAAUCUCUACAGGUGAGGGAGAACCAUGAGAAAAACUUUACAAUUUCCCUAUUUCAUUGGUAUUUUCUUUUGUUUCUUCUCUAGCAAAUGACAAGUGCGCUUUCUGUUAAAGGUCUUGGUGCUACCUUGAAUGUUGCCAAACCAUCGAAGGGUUCAUCAAUCGCCAUUUUCGGUUUAGGAGCAGUGGGGCUUGCUGUGAGUUUCUCCUCUCUAAUGGAAGCCGCUCAUUCUUUUGCUCUUUAUUACUGCCACUUAUGAAAUUGAUUUUACUGUGGUUUCACAUGAUUAGGCUGCUGAGGGAGCUAGAAUUGCAGGUGCUGCCAGAAUUAUUGGGAUUGAUCUAAACCCUAAGAGAUUUAAUGACGGUGAGUGCUCAAAAUGCCCACAAUAUUAAAACAUUGUGUCAUACAUUUUCAAAUUUGUAACCGUACCCUGCUUUAAUGCUAAACUAUUUAUCCAAACUCACACUCCUCGGUGGAUUCUUGUUGCUAACAGCAAAGAAAUUUGGCGUCACUGAGUUUUUGAACCCAAAGGAUCAUGACAAGCCUAUUCAAGAGGUUCAUUCCUUUACCUUCUAUCAUAAAUUGCUGAGAAGCAAAUUUAAGUGUGUGCUUUAUACUGAUGGAGAAUUCUUUUGUGAUUAGGUGAUUGCUGAGAUGACCGGUGGGGGAGUGGACAGAAGCGUUGAGUGUACCGGAAAUGUCAAUGCUAUGAUAUCUGCAUUCGAGUGUGUUCAUGAUGUAAGUUCAUCAGAUCUCAUCUUGUAGUCGUUGGCCAAAGAGAUAUGAAAAUUUUCAAACCAUUUUGAUUAAUUUGGGAGUUUCCAUUGCAGGGGUGGGGUGUUGCUGUACUGGUUGGUGUGCCAAACAAAGACGACUCAUUCAAAACGCAUCCCGUGAAUCUAUUGAACGAGAGGACUCUGAAGGGCACUUUCUUUGGCAACUACAAACCCCGUUCCGACCUUCCUUCAGUGGUGGAAAAAUACAUGAACAAGGUGAUUAAUCAAUUAGCUGAAUUCCUUAAUUAGGUGGUUAUAUUUUGGGAAGAUGUCUUACUCGGUUGUUUUGCCGUGGACAGGAGCUUGAAGUGGAGAAAUUCAUCACACAUGAAGUCCCUUUUGCAGAGAUCAACAAGGCCUUCGAAUAUAUGCUGAGCGGGGAUGGGCUUCGAUGCAUCAUUCGCAUGGAUGCAUAAAACAUUGGAGAGAUUUGCCUAUUCCAGUCGGCAUAAGUGUCUUAAGUACUCUGUCUUUUAAUGCAUUUGAGUUUGCUUUUUCAAAGUGUGUUUGCGUGAUGAGAUCAGAUUUUGUGGAGAGUAAUGCUAUAUGAAUAAAGCUUUAAUACAAACAAUGUCUAUGCAGUUGCAAUAUAUAACAGUUUUCUCAUCUCAUUUAUUUUUUAUUUUAUUUUUUCCUUUUAAUUGGGCUACCCAUGAUCUAAUCCUAAAAUGAUCCCAACCCAAUUCUCCCAUAACUUGGAACCGCACAAUCAUAGCCAAUGACUCACAACCAUAGCCAUAUCCAUGGCUUUAAAAUGCAUCUACUUGGUUAAGAGGAACCUCUACAUAUAUUGCGCCAAGAACAUUCUCCCCUAACCGAUGUGGGACAUCACAACAUAAGAGUCAUUUUAUACCUUAAGAACCUAAGAAUUAUGGUACAAAUGACUACAACGAUAUAAUCUUAUAGCCUAAAAGUUUUUAAUUACCAAAUUUUUAUUCAAAGUAAGUAAAUCUCAUAGUCUAUUUUUUGUAAGUCAACUUCAAAAAAAUUAUUACAUCAACUACUUUACUUAAAUAAUCAAAUAAUAAAUGGUGUUCAAUUAAAUAAAACUGUAUAAAUUAAUAACUAACCUCAAAUAUUGCUCUUUUUCAAAGGAUACAAAACCAACUUUUAUUAAUAUUAAUGACCUUUAACCAAACCAUUAAAUCGAAUUUUAUUGCAAUAAUACUCUCCACCAAGGUCAACGAUAAUACUUGUAACGCCAAACAAACUAGCAUGAAACAAUUGUGCCUUAUUUUAAUAGAACUAAUAAAAAAUAAAAUAUCACUAUAUUUUUCUGUUAUAAACAAAUAAAAUAAUCUGAGAUGUAUAUUUUUUUUUCAUGUAAAAUGAAUUUGAUGCAUGUAAAAAAAUAAAAUAGCAUUUUAUAUAAUUCAAAAUAAUGCAUAAAAAAAUAUUUUCUUUUAUUGUAUUAAUUUCCCCAUUUUAAAAAAAUACUCAAAAUUAUGAAGAAUUUAAAUCUUGAAAAGCUUAAUCCUCACCUAACAUAAUAUAUAUAUAUAAACCAACCAUUAAUAUUGAUUAUGUAUUUAAAAUUAUAAAUUAACAAUCCUAAUAAUUUUUUAUUUUGGUAUUAUUAUUACUCAUUUUUUUUUUCUUCCUAAUCUAUAAGAAUUUAAUUAAUGACCAAAAUAUAACCCUAACCUUAACAUGUCCUCAUCAUGCCAUGCGAUUCAAGCCAUACUUUUUUUUUUACCAUUCUCCACUGUGCAGUAAUGACAUUCGCAUUUUAUCUUCACGGAUAAUAGUCAUUUUCUUGACUUUUUUUAAUUAUUUAUUUAUUAUUUUAUUUUAUUUUAUUUAUUUAUUUAUUUAUUUAUUAUUAUUAGCACUCAUACAACCCUGCAACAUUCCAUAUAUUUUUCCUGCCGUUUUUUUUUCACACCACUAGUUACGCUUCGAUGGCAGCCAUCCCAUGUACUACCCACGCCAUUGCAUUUUUUCUUUUUUCCUUUUUUCUUUCUUAAAAAAAUUUAAUUCUUCCUUCUUAUUUUCACUAAAAAAAAUCUUCAAACACACUAACAUCCUAUACAUGGACCACCCUUCUUAAUUUUUUUUUUUGGUUCUACUAAUCUAAAUAACCAAAUUCUUAAUCAUUGAAUACGCCUGUAUUCAUUUUUUUUUCAUUUUUUUUAUUUAAAAUCAAAUAAAUUACAAAUUAAGCUAGAUUUAGAUCUCUCAAAAGAGUAUUUAAUUUGUUCAAAAUUGAUUAAUGAAUUUAAAAAUACUAAUCUAAAAGUUAAAAUCUUAUUUGGAAAAAUUGAUUUUUAAAUCCUAAACUCUCAAAUCUUCAACCUAUCCUUUCUCAUCUCUCUAAUCUCUAUGCAAAAAGAGUUUUAUUUAUAAAGAAGUUAGGAAAUCUAAUUUCUAUUUAGAUUUCUUUUUUUAAUGUGAAAAGACUUUUCCACCAUCUUCUAAUUUAUUUAUUUAUCUAUUUUAAAAUUAUCUUUUACGCCUAAGAUCAAGUUUUGGUGUUAUAUCCUCCCCUUCUAAAUAAAAUCUUAAUCCUCUAAACUUGAAAUACCUGAGUCUCAAAAUAGAUGUGGAUUAUUUUUUUUUCAUCUCUUCCUCUAAUUCCCAAGUAGCCUCUCAAAUAAAAUUACUCAACUUUACCUUUACAACUUGACAUAGCAUGAUGCAGCACCUUGUCCAUUAUAUCUACAAUCUAAAAGGGUACUUCUUUAUAAGUCAAAUCCUAUUAAAUCUAAAUAGACUCUAACUCCACAACAUGAUAGGGAUAAAAACCAUAUUUCCUCAAAAUUGAUACGCGGAAUACAUUAUGGAUCUUAGAUUAUCUUGGCAUAAAGUUACUUUAUAUGUUAAAGGGUUUAUAUUUUAUAAGAUUUCAAAUGAUCCUACAAAUUAAGGACUAAGUUGCAAUUUCCUCCAAAAUCUCAUUAGAAACUUAUAGACGAAACUUUUAAGAAAACAUGAUAACUAAUAUUUCAUUCCAAAUAUCACAUGUGAUUAUUAGUAUAACUCUUUUAUCUACUUUGAACUACUUUUAAUUUUUCUUUAAUCAAGACAACCUUUUCAAUAGUUAAUUACACAAGUUCAAACUCUAAAAGUUUCUUUUGUCUAACAUCAUCUUAACAAAUAAGAGAUUGACAUCUUUUUCCAUACAACCCCUGAAAUGGUGUCAUCUUAAUACUAGCUUGAAAACUAUUAUUGUAGGCAAUCUCUAUCAAAUGUAAGUAAUCAUCUCAAUUACCUUUUAGGUCUAAAACAUGUGCUUUCAACAAAUGUUCCAAAACUUGAAUUAUGGUCUCUAGCUAGUCAAUAGUUUGAGGAUGGAAAUAGUGCUUAAACUCAACUUAAUACCCAUAGCUUUCUAUAAACUAUGCCAACAUUUGGAAAUAAAACGAGGAUCCAUGUCAAAUGUUAUAGAAAUAGGUACCCCAUACAUUCUCACAAUCUCUUUAACAUAAGUAAAAGUUAGUUGGUCCAUGGAAAAACUUUCAUAGACAAAAAUGAGUAGACUUUGUUAAUCAAUCAACAAUCACCUAGAUAACAUUACUAGCUACCCUUUAAGGUUUUAAGAAAGUCAUCGAGUAGAAGAUUUUGGGUGUACGAAACCUCCUUUGAUGUAAGGCUAUAGCUCAUAGGAUGCGUACAAGUGUGUGCACUGGAAUUGUACACGACACGCACAUGGGCAACAAUAUGAGGAGAGAGACUUUCUAGUUUUUUGAAACAAAAUAAAAAUAUACAAAAUUUUUUAGUUUUUCCCAUAUGUAAUUUUAGGAAGUGUUUCCUCUAAAAAUGUUAUUAAAUAAUUUUAAAAAAUUAACACAUAAUUUUUAGUUUUUUUCCCAAUCCAAAAAUGGUUUUUAAAAUAAGAAAUAUAAUAUAUUUUAAAAUACAAAUUUCUUUAAUUGUAUUAGUCAUAUACCCUUAUUUCAAAAAGAGAUAAUAAUAAUUGAUUGCGUUAUAGAUAUGUCCCUAAUUGCUUCUUUAGUCUUUAGAACGGCAUGAUAUAUAAUUUCUUUGAUUCAAAACGCUAAAAUGAUUCUGACUGAACACCAACUACCAUUUUUUAUUAGUUUGUUUAAUAAGCAUAAUAUUAUUUGGGGAAAAACCCCAAAUAUUCUAAAUCACACGGUCGUGAACAAUGCAAAACAACCUGCGGCCCAAAUUUUUUCUCAACAACCAAACAAAUCCUUAAAUGGAAAACUCACCUGCGAUUAAUCCAAAAGGAAGAGGAAGCUCCACUUCGGUUCCAGAAACCUUCAAAAUAUUCCACCUUUGAUGAACAAAGAUGAAGAAAUGGGUCAACUUUGACUUCGUUGAAGGCUUUCGAAAAAUGCAAAUCGGGUUAGGGCAAAAUGAGAGGAAGUGAUUUGAUUUCCCCAAAUUUCAAAGUAUAUUGGGUCGGGUGUUUUGUGGGUUUUGCAAAUUUCAUAACUUUUACGUUUUAGAUUUUUUUGUUUAUUAAAAGCACCAGUUUCGAUGACAUGGAGAGGGGGAUGGUUGCUGACAGGGAUGCAAGGAGGGGUAAUUUCAGAAAUGUAAUUACAAACGGUAUAUAGUGCAUGAAAGGGAUAUAAUUUUUUGAAAUAGUGGACAUAUCUUGGGUUAUGCAAACUUCGGUUUUGAAAAUAAUAAUAUUGGGAAAUGGGGCUCCCAAAACAUAACUUUCCCUGUUAUUUGUAGAAAUAUUUAAUUAAAAGAGAUGAAAUAAUCUCAAAAUCGAAAAUCUAACCCUUCCCAUGUUUUUUCUAAAAAAGUAAUCCAUUUUUGACAUAAAUGUCAUUUUCUAUUUCAAGUAUUUACAUGUAGGUUUUAAAAGAAGAGUUAUUUUUACAAGAAAAUAAUGAGGAUAUUUUUGUUAAAAAGUUGCCAAAAAAGGGUGGGAGGUUAAAUUUCAAAAAUUGGGUUUUAAGAGUUCCUUUUAAUCAAAUAACCCUUAUUUGUAUUGAUAUGGUAAAUGUUAUUAUUUUUAUAUAGCGUUGACUCUACGAAACAGCGUGUAGAAAAGGAGGCCGGCAACAAAACAGACAAAGGAGUCAACUAGGGACAAUACCAGGGAUGGAAUUCAAAGGCGCUGUGGGUUGUAGCCUCCAAAAGACAAAACAAGGGUAGCAACUGGGUUGUGUCCCAGACAGUUGGGCGGCGUGUGGCAUAAAUAGCAAGAGAAGCACGCCCAUUUCUGCACAAAGGAAGAAACAAAGAAAGACUGGUUACCGUCGUCAAGAUUGAGAGAAGAACGAGCCUAAAGAUGUCAGGCACAGCUGGUCAAGUUAUACGUUGCAAAGGUAUUCUUUAAUCUACCUUUAUUUCAUGUCUUCUGGGUCUCCCAUUGGAUUCUAUUUAUUUCAUGUCCUGUGGUAGCUUCUCUUGGAGAUUAGGGGUCCUUUUGAUGCUUUUUUUUUUUCUCUCUCUCCUUUUUUAGCAUUGGGUUUAUAUUGUUUCGGGGAAAUGAGAUGAUUGUUAAAGAUGAAUUCAUGAUCACAUGGCCGAUAGGAAAUUGGGGAAUUUGUAGUUAUUUAAUUAUGAAAAUAAUUGGUUGAAUUCUUUGGACAAAUGGAUAUCUCUUUGGUUGAAUUCUUUGACAAGUUGGUGUCCCCAUUACAGCCGCGGUGGCAUGGGAAGCGGGAAAGCCAUUGGUGAUCGAAGAAGUGGAAGUGGCGCCUCCGCAGGCCAUGGAGGUUCGUCUGAAGAUUCUCUUCACCUCCCUCUGCCACACUGAUGUUUACUUCUGGGAAGCCAAGGUAACUUCUCCAUGCCAAUGUUUUGUAGACUGUAAUUACAAAUCUAUAAUGUAUUACUCAAUAUGCAGAGAUUCAUAUAUAGUUGGGUUUUCAAUUUGCAGGGACAGACCCCUUUAUUUCCUCGUAUAUUUGGUCAUGAGGCUGGCGGGUAUGAAGAUAUUCUUACAAAUUAAUUAACCAAAAAUACUAAAUUCCAUUUUCAUUGUUGUCUACUUCAUUUUUCCAACACGAUUGACUAAUAAUUUUCUUUCCUUUCCUGUCAUUUUAAUUAGGAUUGUGGAGAGCGUGGGUGAAGGUGUGACAGAUCUCCAACCUGGAGACCAUGUUCUUCCUGUAUUCACUGGCGAAUGCAAGGACUGCCGGCAUUGCAAAUCGGAGGAGAGUAACAUGUGUGACCUCCUCAGGAUAAACACCGACAGGGGCGUGAUGCUCAAUGAUAACAAGUCAAGAUUCUCUAUUAAUGGAAAACCCAUUUACCAUUUUGUGGGGACUUCCACAUUUAGCGAAUACACUGUGGUUCAUGUUGGUUGCGUCGCUAAGAUCAACCCUGCUGCCCCACUCGACAAAGUUUGCGUUCUCAGUUGUGGAAUCUCAACAGGUGAGGGAGAAUCAUGAAACAAACUCUUCCAAUUUAUUUAUUUCAUUGCUGUUUUCUUUUAUUUCUUGUCUUGUUAAUGACAAGUGUGCUUUCUGUUAAAGGUCUCGGUGCUACAUUGAAUGUUGCAAGACCAUGGAAGGGUUCAUCAGUCGCCAUUUUUGGUUUAGGAGCUGUGGGGCUUGCUGUGAGUUUCUCCUCUCUAAUGGAAGCCGCUCAUUAUUAUGCUCUUUAUUACUGCCAUUUAUGAAAUUAAUUUUACUCUGGUUUUGCAUGAUUAGGCUGCUGAGGGGGCUAGAAUUGCAGGUGCUGCCAGAAUCAUUGGGAUUGAUCUAAACCCUAAGAGAUUUAAUGAAGGUGAGAACUCAAAAUGCUCACAAGAUGAAAACACUGUGUCAUACAAUUACAAAUUACUAUUUGUGCCUGCUCUAAUGCUGAACUAUUUCAUCACACUGACACUAUGGAUGAUCUUUCAUUUGACUUUUGUUGCUAACAGCAAAGAAAUUUGGCGUCACUGAGUUUGUGAACCCAAAGGAUCAUGACAAGCCUGUUCAAGAGGUUCAUUCCUUUACCUUCUAUCAUAAGUUGCUGACAAGCAAAAUAAGUGUGUUUUGUACUGAUUGAGAAUUCUUUUGUGAUUAGGUGAUUGCUGAGAUGACCGGUGGGGGAGUGGACAGAAGUGUUGAGUGUACCGGAAAUGUCAAUGCUAUGAUAUCUGCAUUCGAGUGUGUUCAUGAUGUAAGUUCAUCAGAUCUCAUCUUGUAGUCGAUGGCCAAAGAGAGAUGAAAAUUUUCAAACCAUUUUGAUUAAUUUGGGAGUUUCCAUUGCAGGGGUGGGGUGUGGCUGUAUUGGUUGGUGUGCCAAACAAAGAUGACUCAUUCAAAACGCAUCCCGUGAAUCUAUUGAACGAAAGGACUCUGAAGGGCACUUUCUUUGGCAACUACAAACCCCGUUCCGACCUUCCUUCAGUGGUGGAAAAAUACAUGAACAAGGUAAUUAAUUAAUUAGCCGAAUUCCUUAAUUAGGUGGUUAUAUUUUGGGGAAGAUGAAUUCCUUAGUAAGUUAAUUUUUAUGUGGACAGGAGCUUGAAGUGGAGAAAUUCAUCACACAUGAAGUCCCUUUUGCAGAGAUCAAUAAGGCCUUCGAAUACAUGCUUCAAGGGGAUGGCCUUCGUUGCAUUAUUCGCAUGGAUCCAUAAAAGGUUGGGGAGAUUGGCCUAUUGCAGUUUGUUUUUCGAAGUGCCUGUGUUUGAUGAAAUUCAACUAUGUGGAGCAACCAUAGAUGUAUAAAGCAGUCGCAGUACUUAACAUUUUUACUCUCUUCUUGUGUAAUUUCUUUGUACCUUUAAUUGGACGCCCAUGAUCUAAAUUCUGAAAAGAUCCCAACCCAAUUCUCCCUUGACUUGGAUCUGCACAGCCAUAGCCAUGGCUGUCAAUAAGGAUGUGCUUCAGUUUUUUGUCUUUCUUUCUUGGUUAUGUUGUGAUUUUUUCCCCAAUGCAAUUAUAAUUACCAUCUCAUGUCUUGCCUCCUUGAAGGUGGAAAAAAGUAUUUCUCCUGUGCAUUAGAGACUUGUCAUAACAAGCACACCCAAAUUUUCCUUUUUUUUUUUUUUUUUUUCUUUUUUUUUUUUUGUGUUGCCUGUGGACGGUUUCUAUAAAAAAUAAUUCAUGCUUUUGGAUUUGAAGUACAACUCAUCUUUUCAAAAAAAAAAAAAAAAACAAGAACCAAAAAUAAAAAAUAUUCAAUGAAAAAUAUAAAAACUUUUAAGAUAAAAGGUAAAUUCGUCUUUUCAACCCAAAAACUAAAUUCAUUUUUAAAAAAUCAAUUUAGUAUAAAAAUAAAAUAACUGAUAAAAAGAACCAAUUUUUUUAUAAUAAAAAUUUAAACAAUUAUUUUUUAAUAAAAUAAUUUUAUAUAUAAAAAACCCAAUGCUUGUUUGGUAACCGUUUUAAAAAAAAAUUCUGAAAAAUAGUUAUGAGAACAAUUAUUCUCUUAUUUUUGUAAAACAAAAGUUUAUUUGAAAAAUUAAAAUAUUUUUAACCUAUUUUUAAUAUUUUUAAAUAUGCAUAUCUAAUGUUUUAUUUUUAAUAUUUCUACAUGUUUAUAUGAUUAUUUCUUAAAAUAAUUCUUAGAAAAUAAGUAAAAAUAAUAAAAAAUCAAUUAAAAGAUGUUUUAUGAAAACACCAUGUUUUCUAUUCUUAAAAUUAGAAAACAAAAAAUAUUUUUUGUUUGUCAAACAUUUUUUUUAUAUUUUUAUUCUGCUGAACAGAAAACUAUUCUAAAACACAAUUCCCAAACAAGGCCCAAACCUCUGCUAUAUUAUCAGUUGGAGUUGCUGUAUUUUUUGUGCACUUAAACUAAUUUAGAUGCAAAAAAGGAUGACUAAAAGGUAAGAAUAGGAAAGGAAGAGGCCUUGGAGUGAAAAAACAGGAGUUCAAUCUUGGUUAAAUCCAAGUGAACCCAAAUUUUGUUUGGAGAAAAAAUAAAAUAAAAUUCAAAUUUUUUAUGAAUAAGUUAGUCAAUUAUAUUAUAUAUUACAUUAAUAUCAAGAUUUUUUUCUUGUCAUGUCUCUAUCAUAUUAUAAUUAAAAGUAUUCAAUUAUGAUGACGAUAAGCUACCUAACCAAAAUCACAAGGUUAUGUUUGGCUCCCAAAAAAUACUAAGUAAAGAAAAAAAAAUACGAAAGGAAAUGAUUUUUUCAUAUUUGGUUGUCCUAUGAAAAAUAUAAAAGAAAAUCGAAUAUAAUUAAAACUAGUUAAAAACUUAUAUAUUUUUAAAUUAUUUAAUUUUUAUAUAAAUAAAAUGAGUUUGAAAUAGUAAAUAAAAAUAAUUUAUCGACUUUUAAUUUAUUUUUUAUUUUCCAUUAUUUCUUCUUUCCUUCUACUUUUCUUUUGUAUUUUCUUUCCCUUACAUUUUUCCUCAAAAUUUUCGAGAACCAAACAUAGCCUAACUAAUUAGAUUGUAUCACAUAUGCAUUUUGAUUCAUUGCUUUUUAUUUGUUGCUUUGUCCUAGUCUCUUCUUGUCUUUGUCAUAUAUACUAUAAAUUACAAAUGUCUGGCUAUGAUACCGAAGAGGUAUCUAAUGAAAACUAUGACUAAUUAGGUUGCAUUACGCAAUGUAUUUUGAUUUCAUUACUUUUAUAUUUAGGGAGGAUCAUCUAAAGCACAAUAUCUUACCAUAUACCAAAGGAGAGUAUUAUAUCAUUUCUAUCAUCACGAUACUUUUAAGUUUUAACACACUUUAGCAUUCAUAAAAUAGUAAUACUUUUUUUUUUUUUUAAAGAUUGUGUUGAUCGGUAUGCAAACUCAUUCGUUGAAAUUUGCAUUUUUAUUUUUUAUUUUAACCAAACAAUACUUUUAUCCAGACCAUUUUUAGAAAUAUUAGAUUAAGGGAUAGGAUAAUACCAUAUUUAGAAAAAUAUUUUUUAUGUAUCCAAAAUUGCAUAUAUAUAUCCUUAUUCAAAAUUAUUCUGAAUGAGCAGACCAAUUGGAAGCUCUUUUAUACCUUACCCACUCUCUAUUAGUUUGUUAAUAAACAAAACUUUGAAUAGAUAAGAGUGAUGAAAUAUUAUUAGUUUUAUACAGCGUUGACAACAAGCAACCGCGUAUGUAGGAAAGGCGGCAGACAAACAAACCAGGGAUGGAAUUCGAAGGCGCCGUGGGUUGUAGCCCCCCAAAAGACAAAACAAGGGUAGUGAAUAGUAACUGGGUUUUGUGUCCCAGACGGUAGGUGGAAUGUACUAUAAAUAGCAAUUGUAGGACAUCCAUUUCUCCACAAAGACAAAAACAGAGCAAGAGUACUACUGUGAAGCGUGAGAGAGCCUAAAGAUGUCAAGCACAGCUGGUCAAGUUAUACGUUGCAAAGGUAUUCUAGAAUCUACCUUUUUCUCUUCCUUUUUGUAUUGGGCUUAUGCUAUUGUCCUGGUUGUUUUGGGGAAAUGAGAUGAUUGUUAAAGAGGAAUUCAAGAUCACAUGGCCGAUAGGAAAUUGGGGAAUUUGUACCUACAUAUAUUGCUUUCUCCUGUUCAUAUAGGUUUCCUAGUGUCUGUGAUCGUUUGUAUUAUUUUUAAUUAUGUACACGAUUGGUUGAAUUCUUUUGACAAAUGGGUAUCUCCAUUACAGCCGCGGUAGCAUGGGAAGCAGGAAAGCCAUUGGUGAUAGAAGAAGUGGAAGUGGCGCCUCCACAGGUCAUGGAGGUUCGUCUGAAGAUUCUCUUCACCUCCCUCUGCCAUACUGAUGUUUACUUCUGGGAAGCCAAGGUAACUUCUUCAUGCCAGUGUUAUGUAGACUGUAAUUACAAAUCUAUAAUGUAUUACUUAAUAUGCAGAGAUUCAUGUAGAGUUGGGUUUUCAAUUUGCAGGGACAAACCCCUUUAUUUCCUCGUAUAUUUGGUCAUGAGGCUGGCGGGUAUGAUGAUAUUCUUUGAAAAAUUAUUUAACAAAACUACUCAAUUUCAUUUUCAUUGAUGUCUACUUCAUUUUUCCAACACAAUCGACCUUUUUAUCUUAAUAAUUUUCUUUCCUUUCCUGUCAUUUUAAUUAGGAUUGUGGAGAGCGUGGGUGAGGGUGUCACAGAUCUCCAACCUGGAGACCAUGUUCUUCCUGUAUUCACUGGCGAAUGCAAGGAGUGCCGGCACUGCAAGUCAGAGGAGAGUAAUAUGUGUGACCUCCUCAGGAUAAACACCGACAGAGGCGUGAUGCUCAGUGAUAACAAAUCAAGAUUCUCUAUUAACGGAAAACCCAUUUACCAUUUUGUGGGGACUUCCACAUUUAGCGAAUACACUGUGGUUCAUGUUGGUUGCGUCGCUAAGAUCAACCCUGCUGCCCCA